ACUUAAAUAAUUUAAUAAAUAAAAUAUUGAUUUGUGGUAUCAAAAAUAUGAGAAGUUCAUUUUAGGUU
This 68-nucleotide transfer RNA is filed under the name Grapholita delineana. RNAcentral describes it as "tRNA-His". Lineage: Eukaryota; Metazoa; Arthropoda; Insecta; Lepidoptera; Tortricidae. The record is from RNAcentral.